AGAUUGAACGCUGGCGGCAUGCUUUACACAUGCAAGUCGAACGGUAACAGGCCGCAAGGUGCUGACGAGUGGCGAACGGGUGAGUAAUGCAUCGGAACGUGCCCAGUCGUGGGGGAUAACGCAGCGAAAGCUGUGCUAAUACCGCAUACGAUCUAUGGAUGAAAGCGGGGGACCGAAAGGCCUCGCGCGAUUGGAGCGGCCGAUGUCAGAUUAGCUAGUUGGUGGGGUAAAGCCCACGAAGGCGACGAUCUGUAGCUGGUCUGGAGAGGACGACCAGCCACACGUAGGAACUGAGACACGGUCCAGACUCCGUACGGGAGCAGCGAGGUGGGG
Molecule: ribosomal RNA, 333 nt
Filed under: uncultured soil bacterium
Lineage: Bacteria
Description: bacterial SSU rRNA
Rfam family: Bacterial small subunit ribosomal RNA
Source: RNAcentral